AGGCAAGAAGUCACUCUUUACGAAUUUGAUUCAAAUGAUUCAUUUUUUAAAUGUUUUUAACUAUUUUUCUUCUUUGACCUUCCGUCCAUACUGAUAUCAACAGACAACUGUUUUUGUAAAUGUCGGCUGUGCUGCGUCUCAUUGUCUACCUUUUUUUGUUGUCUCUGCUACAGUUUGUGUCCGCCUCAGUCAUCAAGUCCCUGCUAAUGUCCUACAUGAGCACAGACCGUGUGCACUGGGGUAGAUUAGUGACAGACUGGUAUUCUACACCACGUCGGCCAAUCAAUUAUGGAUUAAAUGAUCAUGUUAAUUACAGGUCACCCCUGCUCAGGCUAUACAGAGUGUCACUGCUGUUGCAAAAAUAAGGUCAACCACCGACAGCAACGUCUGCAGUGACAGCAGCGUACGUUGACACCACAACCACAAGUUUGAGUAUCUGCGGCGCUCUUGUCAAAACCUUCUUACGAACGCCUUUUCAUCUGGUGCUCUGAUCCUUGGAGGAAACCAGCCAGGAGUCCCACUGAGACCCGGAAGCCUGAUGUGUGUGGAAAAAUAGGAUGAUUCAAAUUGUAACAAAGAGCCGUGGGAAUAAAUCAGAAUGUAAACCAGCUCGUAGAUCAUCCUGGCGCCUGAUGUUGUGUUUCACAAAGAUGCUGAAGAGGAGGCAGAAAAACACAACACAGCCAGUUCAGCCUGGAUGCUCCCAACAGCAGCAGCAGCAGUUCUGCUGCUCUGCUCCCUGACAGAAC
This is a long non-coding RNA of Cynoglossus semilaevis (tongue sole), 749 nucleotides long. RefSeq lists it as uncharacterized. The record is from RefSeq and is a predicted model, not a curated record. The transcript has 5 exons. NCBI's taxonomy places the organism in Eukaryota, Metazoa, Chordata, Actinopteri, Pleuronectiformes, Cynoglossidae.